GGGGGUAGAGCUCAGUGGUAGAGCACAUGCUUAGCAUGCGCGAGGUCCUGGGUUCAAUCCCCAGGCCCUCCA
Molecule: transfer RNA, 72 nt
Filed under: Camelus bactrianus (Bactrian camel)
Lineage: Eukaryota; Metazoa; Chordata; Mammalia; Artiodactyla; Camelidae
Also listed under: 1 other name
Rfam family: tRNA
About the family: Transfer RNA (tRNA) molecules are approximately 80 nucleotides in length.
Source: Rfam by way of RNAcentral